UCUCCGUAGGUGAACCUGCGGAGGGAUCAUUACAGAGUUCUCGCCCUCGCGGGUAGAUCUCCCACCCACUGUUAUCGUUACUGUGUUGCUUUAGCGGGCCGCCGGGCCCCGCUCGGCCGCCGGCUCCGGCUGGCGCGCGCCCGCCAGAGGCCCAGCAAACUCUGAAUGUUAGUGUCGUCUGAGUACUAUAUAAUAGUUAAAACUUUCGACAACGGAUCUCUUGGUUCUG
This 229-nucleotide unclassified non-coding RNA is filed under the name plant metagenome. RNAcentral's name for it is "partial contains small subunit ribosomal RNA, internal transcribed spacer 1, and 5.8S ribosomal RNA". The record is from RNAcentral.